Molecule: ribosomal RNA, 671 nt
Filed under: uncultured bacterium
Lineage: Bacteria
Description: bacterial SSU rRNA
Rfam family: Bacterial small subunit ribosomal RNA
Source: RNAcentral
CUGCCUUUCAGAGGGGGAUAACGUUUGGAAACGAACGCUAAUACCGCAUAAAAUAUCCAGCAGGCAUCUGCAGGAUAUCAAAGGAGUAAUCCGCUGAAAGAUGGGCUCGCGACCGAUUAGCUAGAUGGUGAGGUAACGGCUCACCAUGGCGACGAUCGGUAGCCGGACUGAGAGGUUGACCGGCCACAUUGGGACUGAGACACGGCCCAGACUCCUACGGGAGGCAGCAGUGAGGGAUAUUGGGCAAUGGGGGAAACCCUGACCCAGCGACGCCGCGUGAGGGAAGACGGUCUUCGGAUUGUAAACCUCUGUCUUUGGGGACGAAAAAGGACGGUACCCAAGGAGGAAGCUCCGGCUAACUACGUGCCAGCAGCCGCGGUAGUACGUAGGGAGCGAGCGUUGUCCGGAAUUACUGGGUGUAAAGGGAGCGUAGGCGGGAUUGCAAGUUGGAUGUGAAAACUGCGGGCUCAACCCGGAGCGUGCAUUCAAAACUGCGAUUCUUGAGUGAAGUAGAGGCAAGCGGAAUUCCUAGUGUAGCGGUGAAAUGCGUAGAUAUUAGGAGGAACACCAGUGGCGAAGGCGGCUUGCUGGGCUUUUACUGACGCUGAGGCUCGAAAGUGUGGGGAGCAAACAGGAUUAGAUACCCUGGUAGUCCACACUGUAAACGAUGA